UCUCAGCACACCCGUGAGACCCUUUACCUUCACCAGGCUAAGGAGCCGGCAUCAGGCACAGACUCUAGCCCACAACGCCUAGUCUCACCACACCCCCAAGGGUAGUCAGCAGUGAUAAAUUUUGCGCAUGAGCGUCAGCUCGACUCAGUUAGGGAAAAGAGGGCCGGCUAACCCGGUGCCAGCCGCCGCGGCUACCCCGUAGGGCUCAAGUUGAUGAUCGUCGGCGUUAAGCGUGAUUAAAGUUCCUACAAAUUAGGGUCAAAUUAAUACUUAGUAGUUUUAAGCUUGUUAUUAAGAAGAACACAAACGAAAGUUACCCUAAUUACACUUGAAUCCACGACAACUGGGACACAAACUGGGAUUAGAUACCCCACUAUGCCCAGUCGUAAACAAUCUAUUCACACCAACCAACGCCAGGGAAUUACGAGCUAUGCUUAAAACCCAAAGGACUUGACGGUUUCCCACCCCCCUAGAGGAGCCUGUUCUAUAAUCGAUGAUCCCCGCUAUACCUAACCACCCCUCGCCAUCAGUCUGUAUACCUCCGUCGAAAGCUUACCAUAUGAAUGCUUCAGUAGGCCCAAUGAUUCAACACGUCAGGUCAAGGUGCAGCUUAAGGAAUGGGAAGUGAUGGGCUACAAUUUCUAAACUAGAACAAACGAAAGACUAGGUGAAACCCUGGUCAUGAAGGCGGAUUUAGUAGUAAAAAGAAAAUAGAGUGUUCUUUUUAACAUGGCUCUGGGACGCGUA
Molecule: ribosomal RNA, 747 nt
Filed under: Nidirana daunchina (Emei music frog)
Lineage: Eukaryota; Metazoa; Chordata; Amphibia; Anura; Ranidae
Description: partial 12S ribosomal RNA
Rfam family: Bacterial small subunit ribosomal RNA
Source: RNAcentral